This 497-nucleotide ribosomal RNA is filed under the name uncultured bacterium. Its description in RNAcentral is "partial 16S ribosomal RNA". It matches the Rfam family "Bacterial small subunit ribosomal RNA", at positions 28 to 507 of the family's 1533-position model. The record is from RNAcentral.
GAUGAACGCUGGCGGCGUGCCUAAUACAUGCAAGUCGAGCGAACAGACGAGGAGCUUGCUCCUCUGACGUUAGCGGCGGACGGGUGAGUAACACGUGGAUAACCUACUUAUAAGACUGGGAUAACUUCGGGAAACCGGAGCUAAUACCGGAUAAUAUAUUGAACCGCAUGGUUCAAUAGUGAAAGACGGUUUUGCUGUCACUUAUAGAUGGUUCCGCGUCGCAUUAGCUAGUUGGUAAGGUAACGGCUUACCAAGGCAACGAUGCGUAGCCGACCUGAGAGGGUGAUCAGCCACACUGGAACUGAGACACGGUCCAGACUCCUACGGGAGGCAGCAGUAGGGAAUCUUCCGCAAUGGGCGAAAGCCUGACGGAGCAACGCCGCGUGAGUGAUGAAGGUCUUCGGGUCGUAAAACUCUGUUAUUAGGGAAGAACAGAUGUGUAAGUAACUAUGCACGUCUUGACGGUACCUAAUCAGAAAGCCACGGCUAACUACGUG